This 64-nucleotide transfer RNA is filed under the name Bradysia odoriphaga. RNAcentral describes it as "tRNA-Glu". It matches the Rfam family "tRNA". Rfam says of the family: Transfer RNA (tRNA) molecules are approximately 80 nucleotides in length. Their secondary structure includes four short double-helical elements and three loops (D, anti-codon, and T loops). Further hydrogen bonds mediate the characteristic L-shaped molecular structure. tRNAs have two regions of fundamental functional importance: the anti-codon, which is responsible for specific mRNA codon recognition, and the 3' end, to which the tRNAs corresponding amino acid is attached (by aminoacyl-tRNA synthetases). tRNAs cope with the degeneracy of the genetic code in two manners: having more than one tRNA (with a specific anti-codon) for a particular amino acid; and 'wobble' base-pairing, i.e. permitting non-standard base-pairing at the 3rd anti-codon position. RNAcentral also lists the same sequence under 1 other name. Lineage: Eukaryota; Metazoa; Arthropoda; Insecta; Diptera; Sciaridae. The record is from RNAcentral.
GUUUAUGUAGUUUAAAAAAAACACUACAUUUUCACUGUAGAAAUAAAAUUAUUUUUUAUAAAUU